This 299-nucleotide small nuclear RNA is filed under the name Prolemur simus (greater bamboo lemur). RNAcentral describes it as "7SK RNA (ENSPSMG00000015712.1)". The stretch from base 1 to 254 matches the Rfam family "7SK RNA". From Rfam's summary of the family: 7SK was discovered as an abundant small nuclear RNA in the mid-70s but a possible function has only recently been suggested. Two independent studies have found that 7SK RNA binds the CDK9/cyclin T complex (known as elongation factor P-TEFb). Lineage: Eukaryota; Metazoa; Chordata; Mammalia; Primates; Lemuridae. The record is from Rfam by way of RNAcentral.
GGAAGGGCAAUCUGGCUGCUACAUCUAUCACCUACUGAUUUUUCAGUUGAUUUUGCUUAUCUGAUUGGCUAAGUGAGGUCACCUUUCUCCCACAACCCUCCAUCUGCAUCUCUCCCAAACCUCAAUCAAAAAGGAUAACCUUAUAUAGAGCAGAAAUCAUCUUUUGUCAAGUUGUUGAUUUCCCUGGGUAUAAUUUCAAAACUAGCUCUGCUCUUUAAGUGUAGAUAAUUUCAUGUAAUUUGCUUCUGUCUCUUGUACUGUAAAAGAUCCUUCUCUGUCUUUUACAGGAGAAGGGAGAU